AGAGUUUGAUCAUGGCUCAGAACGAACGCUGGCGGCAGGCUUAACACAUGCAAGUCGAACGCAUCCUUCGGGGUGAGUGGCAGACGGGUGAGUAACGCGUGGGAACGUGCCCUUCAGUUCGGGAUAACCCAGGGAAACUUGGGCUAAUACCGGAUACGUGCGAGAGCAGAAAGAUUGAUCGCUGAAGGAUCGGCCCGCGUCUGAUUAGCUAGUUGGUGGGGUAAUGGCCCACCAAGGCGACGAUCAGUAGCUGGUCUGAGAGGAUGAUCAGCCACAUUGGGACUGAGACACGGCCCAAACUCCUACGGGAGGCAGCAGUGGGGAAUAUUGGACAAUGGGCGCAAGCCUGAUCCAGCCAUGCCGCGUGAGUGAUGAAGGCCUUAGGGUUGUAAAGCUCUUUCGUCCGGGACGAUAAUGACGGUACCGGAAGAAGAAGCCCCGGCUAACUUCGUGCCAGCAGCCGCGGUA
Molecule: ribosomal RNA, 468 nt
Filed under: uncultured Pseudomonadota bacterium
Lineage: Bacteria; Pseudomonadati; Pseudomonadota
Description: bacterial SSU rRNA
Rfam family: Bacterial small subunit ribosomal RNA
Source: RNAcentral